RNAcentral lists this ribosomal RNA (485 nucleotides) under uncultured bacterium. RNAcentral's name for it is "bacterial SSU rRNA". It matches the Rfam family "Bacterial small subunit ribosomal RNA", at positions 15 to 518 of the family's 1533-position model. The record is from RNAcentral.
GAUCAUGGCUCAGGAUGAACGCUGGCGGCGCGCCUAACACAUGCAAGUCGAACGGCGAAGUCCCUUCGGGGACGGAACAGUGGCGGACGGGUGAGUAACGCGUGAGUAACCUGCCCUUACGAGCGGAAUAGCGUCGGGAAACUGACGGUAAUACCGCAUGAAGCUUGACCCCGGCAUCGGGGAGAAGCCAAAGAUUUAUCGCGUAAGGAUGGACUCGCGUCCCAUUAGAUAGUUGGCGGGGCAACGGCCCACCAAGUCAGCGAUGGGUAGCCGGACUGAGAGGUUGAACGGCCACAUUGGAACUGAGAGACGGUCCAGACUCCUACGGGAGGCAGCAGUGGGGAAUAUUGGGCAAUGGGCGAAAGCCUGACCCAGCGACGCCGCGUGAGCGAAGAAGGUCUUCGGAUUGUAAAGCUCUGUGUACAGGGACGAAGAAUGACGGUACCUGUAUAGAAAGCCACGGCUAACUACGUGCCAGCCGCCGC